This is a non-coding RNA of Chlorocebus sabaeus (green monkey), 871 nucleotides long. The record is from RefSeq and is a predicted model, not a curated record. NCBI's taxonomy places the organism in Eukaryota, Metazoa, Chordata, Mammalia, Primates, Cercopithecidae.
AUGGGGGAAGCCUAUGCUGGUAGCCGAGCUCCCAGCUGAUCCUAAAAUGAUCCUAAAAAUGAGGAGGAAUUUUGAAAAGCGACGAAUUGAGGCUCGGCAAGAGAAACAAAGGCGCUGAAGAGAAAAAAACAGUGAGAAAUACGGAGAUGGAUACAGAAUGGCAUUUACAUGUUCAUUUUGUAAAUUUCGAACAUUCGAAGAAAAAGAUAUUGAACUGCAUCUGGCCAGUUCUUCACAUCAGGAAGCAUUAGAUCAUAUACAGAAACAAACUAAAUUUGAUAAAGUAAUUAGGGAGUUUUUGCAUGAGUGUAUGGUGAAUAAAUUCAAGAAAACGUCUAUUCGUAAGCAACAGAUAAAUAAUCAAACAGAAGUAGUUAAAAUAAUUGAAAAAGAUGUUAUGGAAGGUGUUACUGCAGAUGAUCACCUGAUGAAAGUAGAGACAGUUCACUGCAGCGCUUGCAGUGUGUAUAUCCCUGCUUUACAUAGUUCAGUUCAGCAGCACUUAAAGUCUCCUGAUCAUAUCAAAGGGAAGCAGGCUUAUAAGGAACAAAUAAAAAGAGAGAGUGUCUUGACUGCUACAAGCAUUUUAAAUAAUCCAAUAGUGAAGGCGUGAUAUGAACGUUUUGUUAAGGGUGAGAAUCCUUUUGAAAUUCAAGACCAUUCUCAGGAUCAGCAAAUAGAAGGAGAUGAGGAGGAUGAAGAGAAGAUUGAUGAACCUAUUGAAGAAGAGGAGGAUGAAGAGAAGGAAGAAGAAGCAGAGGAAGUAGGGGAAGUAGAGGAGGCGGAGGAAGUAGAGGAAGUAGAGGAAGAAACAGCAAAGGAAGAACCUGCUGAUUUCCCUGUUGAGUAACCUAAAGAAAAUUACAUAUAA